GUAAUGUAGGCAAUUGGGGAUCUCACCGUUGAUCGUUCCAAGCAGCUUCACUGAAGAAAAUCGAUCUCCGCUUUGCUUAGAGACGAAUAAAAGGUCAUCGGGUUGACCUAAUCAAGCAUGACAACCAACCCCUAAAGAAAAUGUGUGCUCACUAUGCAAAUGAGUGGCAGCCUCCGCCUUCUCCUCUCAUCACAUCAAACAAAUGCAAUGGUGAGGUGAUUUUCCAAGACCGCAACGGUUAGUCAAGUGAAUGUGGCUAAGGCAGAAGAGGCUUCUGACGUGAUAAUGGGUACUCUUUCAGUUAAUUUUAUUCCGGUGAAAGUUUUAUUUGAUUCAGGAGUUUCGCAUUCGUUCAUUUCAAGGCCAUCUACCGCAAAGCAUGAAUUGUUUACAAAGUUGAUGCCUAAGCCUUUAUCAAUUGUUUCUAACGGACAUGCAAAUGAGUUCUCCCUUGAGGGUUCCAAAUGUUGAAAUUGCGGUUGUGGAUUA
Long non-coding RNA from Triticum dicoccoides, 489 nucleotides. RefSeq lists it as uncharacterized. The record is from RefSeq and is a predicted model, not a curated record. The transcript is spliced from 2 exons. Lineage: Eukaryota; Viridiplantae; Streptophyta; Magnoliopsida; Poales; Poaceae.